This 292-nucleotide ribosomal RNA is filed under the name uncultured bacterium. Its description in RNAcentral is "partial 16S ribosomal RNA". It matches the Rfam family "Bacterial small subunit ribosomal RNA", at positions 775 to 1067 of the family's 1533-position model. The record is from RNAcentral.
GGAUUAGAUACCCUGGUAGUCCACACCGUAAACGCUGUCUACUAGCUGUAUGUUUUUUAUAAGAUGUGUGGCGUAGCUAACGCGCUAAGUAGACCGCCUGGGGAGUACGGCCGCAAGGUUAAAACUCAAAUGAAUUGACGGGGGCCCGCACAAGCGGUGGAGCAUGUGGUUUAAUUCGAUGCAACGCGAAGAACCUUACCUACACUUGACAUCCAGAGAACUUACCAGAGAUGGUUUGGUGCCUUCGGGAGCUCUGAGACAGGUGCUGCAUGGCUGUCGUCAGCUCGUGCUG